UAGCUCAGUUGGUAGAGUGCUUGCCUUGCAUACACGAGGCCCUGGGUUCAAUUCCCAG
Molecule: transfer RNA, 58 nt
Filed under: Ictidomys tridecemlineatus (thirteen-lined ground squirrel)
Lineage: Eukaryota; Metazoa; Chordata; Mammalia; Rodentia; Sciuridae
Description: Spermophilus tridecemlineatus (thirteen-lined ground squirrel) tRNA
Rfam family: tRNA
About the family: Transfer RNA (tRNA) molecules are approximately 80 nucleotides in length. Their secondary structure includes four short double-helical elements and three loops (D, anti-codon, and T loops).
Source: Rfam by way of RNAcentral